GAUUGAACGCUGGCGGCAGGCCUAACACAUGCAAGUCGAACGGCAGCGGGGGGUAGCUUGCUACCCCGCCGGCGAGUGGCGGACGGGUGAGUAAUGCCUGGGGAGCUGCCCAAUUGAGGGGGAUACCAGUUGGAAACGACUGCUAAUACCGCAUGCGCCCUGAGGGGGAAAGGUGGGGAUCUUCGGACCUACCGCGAUUGGAUGCACCCAGGUGGGAUUAGCUAGUUGGUGAGGUAACGGCUCACCAAGGCGACGAUCUCUAGCUGGUCUGAGAGGAUGACCAGCCACACUGGAACUGAGACACGGUCCAGACUCCUACGGGAGGCAGCAGUGGGGAAUAUUGCACAAUGGGGGAAACCCUGAUGCAGCCAUGCCGCGUGUGUGAAGAAGGCCUGGUGUAAG
RNAcentral lists this ribosomal RNA (402 nucleotides) under uncultured bacterium. RNAcentral describes it as "bacterial SSU rRNA". It matches the Rfam family "Bacterial small subunit ribosomal RNA", at positions 27 to 429 of the family's 1533-position model. The record is from RNAcentral.